UUCAACUACUAGGGGUGUCCGUCAAGCGGGCUGAGAGGAAAGCGAUACUUUCCGACUCUUGGGACCUGAUCUGGGUUAUACCAGCGUGGGGAAGUAGUCAACAUACCAU
RNAcentral lists this non-coding RNA (109 nucleotides) under Salimicrobium flavidum. Its description in RNAcentral is "TPP sequence". It matches the Rfam family "TPP riboswitch aptamer (THI element)". Rfam says of the family: Vitamin B(1) in its active form thiamin pyrophosphate (TPP) is an essential coenzyme that is synthesised by coupling of pyrimidine and thiazole moieties in bacteria. Lineage: Bacteria; Bacillati; Bacillota; Bacilli; Caryophanales; Bacillaceae. The record is from RNAcentral.